Molecule: long non-coding RNA, 310 nt
Filed under: Carica papaya (papaya)
Lineage: Eukaryota; Viridiplantae; Streptophyta; Magnoliopsida; Brassicales; Caricaceae
Description: long non-coding RNA (CPAP_LNC005032)
Source: RNAcentral
AGAAAGUUAGAAUAUUUUCACAGAUUUUUGUUGUCAAAGAUUACUUAACAUCGUGCUGAAUCUCCUAGAAGCAGUUGAAGGAAAAGUGUUACCAUUACAUGGAAAUUUGAGUGAAGCUAGAUGCACACAAUGGAAAUAACUUGAGUAGUAUGAACUUGUGUCUGUGUUUUUGUACCUUAGGUUAAGGGGAUAAAGUUGAAUGCGGUUCUCUGUACCUGAUUUCUGAGGCUUCACUGAAGUUUAGAAAUUACUGGGCUGCACAGAGGUAGGAGUUAAAUUGUUAGACACUUGGACUAAAACAGGUGGUAAC